UACAGAGACUGCGAGCGUUACUCGGAUUCACUGGGCGUAAAGGGUGCGUAGGCGGCUAAAUGUGUCAGAUGUGAAAUCCCGGGGCUCAACUCCGGAACUGCGUCUGAAACUAUUUAGCUAGAGACUCGGCGAGGUAAGCGGAAUUCCAAGUGUAGCAGUGAAAUGCGUAGAUAUUUGGAGGAACACCGAAGGCGAAGGCAGCUUACUGGAAGAGAUCUGACGCUGAGGCACGAAAGCGUGGGGAGCAAAAGGG
This 253-nucleotide ribosomal RNA is filed under the name uncultured bacterium. Its description in RNAcentral is "partial 16S ribosomal RNA". It matches the Rfam family "Bacterial small subunit ribosomal RNA", at positions 524 to 776 of the family's 1533-position model. The record is from RNAcentral.